UACAGAGGUCUCAAGCGUUGUUCGGAUUCAUUGGGCGUAAAGGGUGCGUAGGCGGUGCGGUAAGUCGGGUGUGAAAUCUCAGAGCUCAACUCUGAAACUGCACUCGAUACUGCUUUGCUUGAGGACUGGAGAGGAGACUGGAAUUUACGGUGUAGCGGUGAAAUGCGUAGAUAUCGUAAGGAAGACCAGUGGCGAAGGCGGGUCUCUGGACAGUUCCUGACGCUGAGGCACGAAGGCCAGGGGAGCAAACGGG
RNAcentral lists this ribosomal RNA (253 nucleotides) under uncultured bacterium. RNAcentral describes it as "partial 16S ribosomal RNA". It matches the Rfam family "Bacterial small subunit ribosomal RNA", at positions 524 to 776 of the family's 1533-position model. The record is from RNAcentral.